CAGUUUCAAAGUGCAUUCCUCAUGCACUAUAGUUAAUAUAUAUAUAUAUAUAUAUAUAUAUAUAUAUAUAUAUAUUAACUAUAAAUAUAUAUAUUAACUAUAGUGCAUGAGGAAUGCACUUUGAAACUG
Pelobates cultripes (western spadefoot toad) is the source of this 129-nucleotide non-coding RNA. The record is from the annotation of a GenBank genome assembly. Lineage: Eukaryota; Metazoa; Chordata; Amphibia; Anura; Pelobatidae.